RNAcentral lists this ribosomal RNA (498 nucleotides) under uncultured bacterium. Its description in RNAcentral is "partial 16S ribosomal RNA". It matches the Rfam family "Bacterial small subunit ribosomal RNA", at positions 28 to 507 of the family's 1533-position model. The record is from RNAcentral.
GACGAACGCUGGCGGCGUGCCUAAUACAUACAAGUCGAACGAGAGCGACCGGUGCUUGCACUGGUCAAUCUAGUGGCGAACGGGUGAGUAACACGUGGGUAACCUGCCCAUCAGAGGGGGAUAACAUCCGGAAACGGAUGCUAAAACCGCAUAGGUCUUCGAGCCGCAUGGCUUGAAGAGGAAAAGAGGCGCAAGCUUCUGCUGAUGGAUGGACCCGCGGUGCAUUAGCUAGUUGGUGAGGUAACGGCUCACCAAGGCCGUGAUGCAUAGCCGACCUGAGAGGGUGAUCGGCCACAUUGGGACUGAGACACGGCCCAAACUCCUACGGGAGGCAGCAGUAGGGAAUCUUCCGCAAUGGACGCAAGUCUGACGGAGCAACGCCGCGUGAGUGAAGAAGGUUUUCGGAUCGUAAAACUCUGUUGUUAGAGAAGAACAAGUGCUAGAGUAACUGUUAGCGCCUUGACGGUAUCUAACCAGAAAGCCACGGCUAACUACGUG